AUAUGUAUUGUUCCAUUGAGAAUUAAAGUUCCUAGAGUUCUGGAUUAAGGUUUCAAGUCAUUUUUGAGUUUUGUUCAAGCUAUUUUGGUGUUUCUAGUUGCUGGAAGUUUCAGAAGUUCUUUCUGGGUUAAAUUUUGAUCAAUCUGGAUUUAACCGAGUCUAUUUGGUUGAACAUUGGUGCUGUAUUUUCACGUUUCAAUUCUGGACCGAUUCUGAUAUUGGUUGCUGGGUUGUUUGCUUAGAUCUGAACUGCUGUUUUGUCACUUGCUACUGCUGCUUCCUAUUUUUCUUUUCCUUGUUAUUUAAUUCCAGGUACACUAUUGUAGAUCUCGAAAUAUGGAUUGAAAUAAAAUGUUUCUCGUCUACUUCUUUGCAUUUUUAGCUGGGUCCCAAUUCUAUUGCAUCUUCAUGUAAAACGAUCUAGUUUCACCUAAAAACUGAGAGGUGUGAUUGUAUAUUGAUAUUGGUUUCUAGAUGUUAUAUUGAAGUUAAUUAGGGCUGUUCGUAAAGUCAGGACUGUUUAGGACUGUAAUUAAGGACUGCUGGAAUUAGUUUUGUUUUUUGGUCUGUUUCACCAUAGCAAUUAUUGCUAGUUUAGAGUUGUUUAGUUUUUGGUUUGUUACCGUGGAAAUAAAAUUUAGAAUAGGAAGUUAGUUAAUCAGAAUGUUCUGGCCUGUUUAUAUUUGGAAAUGGUAUGCUCACAAUCACUUAAUGUCACGUACAUCUGCUGAUUCAUUUCUACGUUUAGUCUGCAAAUAAGUGUUAUAAUACAUAUUAGUCGAUUGGCUGUAAAAUUGGCAAAACAAGAUGUUAGAUUCUCCAAUUCCACGUGAUUUGAAUAUAUAUAUAUAUAUAUAUAUAUAUAUAUAUAUAUAUACACACACACACACACCAACAUGCAUUGAUUUGAACCUAUUUGAAUCACUCAUUUACCCACAAUAGCUAAGCCCAGCCAAUUUCACUCUACUAUCUGUUUAAUCUGGACGGCCUGUGAUUAGAGGGUCUCGGCCGGAUUUUUAUUUGCAGAAGGCCCACAUUUGGGCAAUGUUUCAUGUACCAUUAGGACCAAAUCUGUUUAGGGCAAAAUUUGAAGGCCAAAAACACUGAAAGUCUCAAUGAGGCUACCUUUGUUAAAUUCAGUACUUAUUUGAAUAUCUUAGC
This 1161-nucleotide long non-coding RNA is filed under the name Nicotiana benthamiana. Its description in RNAcentral is "long non-coding RNA (NBEN_LNC035114)". Lineage: Eukaryota; Viridiplantae; Streptophyta; Magnoliopsida; Solanales; Solanaceae. The record is from RNAcentral.